GCAGUCGAACGAAGACCCUUGUACUCGUACGAGGAAUUCUUAGUGGCGAACGGGUGAGUAUCGCGUUGGUGACCUGCCCCGAAGUGGGGGACAACAGUCCGAAAGGACUGCUAAUACCCCAUGUGGCCGUGAUAAUUAGAAAGUCACGACUAAAGGAGUAAUCCGCUUCGGGAGGGGCCUGCGUCCCAUCAGCUAGUUGGUAAGGUAAUGGCUUACCAAGGCUACGACGGGUAGGGGACCUGAGAGGGUGGCCCCCCACACUGGUACUGAAACACGGACCAGACACCUACGGGUGGCAGCAGUAGGGAAUAUUGCACAAUGGGCGAAAGCCUGAUGCAGCAACACCGCGUGUGUGAUGAAGGCCUUCGGGUCGUAAAGCACUUUUAUGAGGGAAGAGGAAGGACGGUACCUCAUGAAUAAGGAUCGGCUAACUACGUGCCAGCAGCCGCGGUAACACGUAGGAUCCAAGCGUUAUCCGGAUUUACUGGGCGUAAAGCGCGUGUAGGCGGCUUAGUAAGUUGGAUGUGAAAGCCCCCGGCCCAACCGGGAGACGUCGUUCAAUACUGCUAGGCUUGAGGACGAUAGAGGAAGGUGGAAUUCCGGGUGUAGUGGUGAAAUGCGUAGAUAUCCGGAGGAACACCAGUGGCGAAGGCGGCCUUCUGGGUCGUUCCUGACGCUCAGACGCGAAAGCUAGGGUAGCGAACGGGAUUAGAAACCCCGGUAGUCCUAGCCGUAAACGAUGUCAACUUGGUGUUGGUGGUGUAAAAACCAUCAGUGCCGUAGCUAACGCGAUAAGUUGACCGCCUGGGGACUACGACCGCAAGGUUAAAACUCAAAGGAAUUGACGGGGCCCCGCACAAGCAGCGGAGCGUGUGGUUUAAUUCGAUGCUA
This 891-nucleotide ribosomal RNA is filed under the name uncultured marine bacterium. Its description in RNAcentral is "bacterial SSU rRNA". It matches the Rfam family "Bacterial small subunit ribosomal RNA", at positions 57 to 959 of the family's 1533-position model. The record is from RNAcentral.